CCUACGGGAGGCUGCAGUGAGGAAUAUUUGUCAAUGGACGAGAGUCUGAACCAGCCAAGUAGCGUGAAGGAUGACUGCCCUAUGGGUUGUAAACUUCUUUUAUAUGGGAAUAAAAUGUUCCACGUGUGGGAUUUUGUAUGUACCAUAUGAAUAAGGAUCGGCUAACUCCGUGCCAGCAGCCGCGGUCAUACGUAGGAUCCGAGCAUUAUCCGGAGUGACUGGGUGUAAAGAGUUGCGUAGGUGGCAUAGUAAGUAGCUAGUGAAAUCUGGUGGCUCAACCAUUCAGACUAUUAGCUAAACUGCUAAGCUCGAGACCGUUAGGGGUAACUGGAAUUUCUAGUGUAGGAGUGAAAUCCGUAGAUAUUAGAAGGAACACCGAUAGCGUAGGCAGGUUACUGGGACGGUUCUGACACUAAGGCACGAAAGCGUAGGGAGCAAACGGGAUUAGAUACCCCUGUAGUC
RNAcentral lists this ribosomal RNA (462 nucleotides) under uncultured bacterium. RNAcentral's name for it is "partial 16S ribosomal RNA". It matches the Rfam family "Bacterial small subunit ribosomal RNA", at positions 338 to 795 of the family's 1533-position model. The record is from RNAcentral.